GACGAACGCUGGCGGCGUGCUUAACACAUGCCAGUCGAACGGAAAGGCCCUGCUUUUUUGGGGUUCUCGAGUGGCGAACGGGUGAGUAACACGUGAGUAACCUGCCCUUGACUUUGGGAUAACUUCAGGAAACUGGGGCUAAUACCGGAUAGGAGCUCCUGCUGCAUGGUGGGGGUUGGAAAGUUUCGGCGGUUGGGGAUGGACUCGCGGCUUAUGAGCUUGUUGGUGGGGGAGGGGCUUACCAAGGCUUUGACGGGUAGCCGGCCUGAGAGGGUGGCCGGCCACAUUGGGACUGAGAGAGGGCCCAGACUCCUACGGGAGGCAGCAGUGGGGAAUAUUGCACAAUGGGCGGAAGCCUGAUGCAGAAACGCCGCGUGCGGGAUGACGGCCUUCGGGUUGUAAACCGCUUUCGCCUGUGACGAAGCGUGAGUGACGGUAAUGGGUAAAGAAGCACCGGCUAACUACGUG
Molecule: ribosomal RNA, 468 nt
Filed under: uncultured bacterium
Lineage: Bacteria
Description: partial 16S ribosomal RNA
Rfam family: Bacterial small subunit ribosomal RNA
Source: RNAcentral